UACGUAGGGGGCUAGCGUUGUCCGGAAUCAUUGGGCGUAAAGAGCGUGUAGGCGGCCCGGUAAGUCCGCUGUGAAAGUCGGGGGCUCAACCCUCGAAUGCCGGUGGAUACUGUCGGGCUAGAGUCCGGAAGAGGCAAGUGGAAUUCCCGGUGUAGCGGUGAAAUGCGCAGAUAUCGGGAGGAACACCUAUGGCGAAGGCAGCUUGCUGGGACGGUACUGACGCUGAGACGCGAAAGCGUGGGGAGCAAACAGG
RNAcentral lists this ribosomal RNA (253 nucleotides) under uncultured bacterium. Its description in RNAcentral is "partial 16S ribosomal RNA". It matches the Rfam family "Bacterial small subunit ribosomal RNA", at positions 524 to 776 of the family's 1533-position model. The record is from RNAcentral.